ACCAAGUCGACGAGUCCCAAAUAGGACGAAACGUGCAUCCUGGAU
Molecule: non-coding RNA, 45 nt
Filed under: Schistosoma margrebowiei
Lineage: Eukaryota; Metazoa; Platyhelminthes; Trematoda; Strigeidida; Schistosomatidae
Source: RNAcentral